UCUGAGAUGAAGCAGGAACUAGUCAAACGACUAAGGAGUUUUGGAAAGCACUGAAUACUUUCAGGAGAAUGAUAACGAAGUGUCAAUAAGCAGUAAAUAUGGAAUAAUGAAGGGAACACUUUAGGAAAAUUUUAGAAGGUUGGGAACUGAACUGCAAGAUAUUAAAUUAGGUAGAGGAACAACGAAUGAGAAAUUAAGUAGUUGGUGGACAGAAGAGAAAUUUGAAAAGCAAUUAAAACGUUUGAAUGAGAUUAAAUACACACGUGCUUGCUAACCCUAGCUUGUUCCUUACUAUAGUGGACGGAUAAAAAAAAAACGUAUCUAACUAUCUGUUUAAUCAGUUUAUGUACAAUCACUCUGAUAUGUCUAUGACUUAUCUACAAUAUUAAAUAAAAUUUUGUUAGAAAAUAAUUUUCCCUAUGUAUAUCAAUUAAAGUCAAAAUCAAAACUGCAGUAUCAGUUUCAAACUACUGUAUUAUAAAUCUAUAUUCUUCUCAUCUGUAGAAUACCGGCCAUCAGUUUAUAACACAAGUAUGAUCAUUCUUUGAAAGCUCAAAACAGUAUCAGUUUCAAACUACUGUAUUAUAGGUCUAUAUUCUUCUCAUCUGUAGAACACCGGCCAUCAGUUUAUAACACAAGUAUGACCAUUCUUUAAAAGCUCAAGACAGAGCCAGAAAAAACAAGAAGCUACAACUUUCAAAAAUAGCAGUCAGUAAGAUUAGUUUAGCUUGUUUGUUGUUAAGCCCAAAGCUACACAAUGGGCUAUCUAUGCUCUGCCUGCCACGGGUAUCGAAACCAGGAUUUUAGCAUCGUAAGCCUGCAGAUUUACCGCUGAGCCAUUGUGUGAGUACAGUCAUUAAGAAUAUUCGUCCUGAUAUUUACUCUUAACAAUACCAGUACGAGUGGUUCAUGUGGAAUUUUGGUCUCCAUUUCACACUUAUUUCUCUGCUUUAUUUCUCUGCGAAAUUCAAAACAACUAAACCAGUCAUGCAGAAACUUAACAAAGCAAACAAGCCCCUAAAAUUAUACCCCAAUGAAACUCUUCUCCUGGUAGCCACAUCAGCCAAAUUCCUGGGCCUAACCUACGAUUCAAAGCUAAAUUGGACUAAACAUGUAAAUGAAAUGUAUAUAGAUAAACGUAAAUAUAGGUGUAUCUAUUCCUUAUAUGUUUCCACUUUUAUGUAUUUUUAUUGCACUUUUAAUGUUUAUUAUGUUAAGAAAAAAAAUAGAAGCACAAUUUCAUAUCUUUUGUUACAGACGAUUUUUUAUUUCGUCCGUCCAACGGACGGUUACUCCAGCUCAUUAGAAAUAAAAUGUGACAAAAAGGAAAUUAUGUACGACGUCUGAUCGGCAACACUAGGGAUGCAACAACUGAAAACAUACUCAAAAUCUAUAAAACAUACAUAUGUCCAGUGGUAAAGUAUGCCUGCCCAGCAUGGUGAAAUGUAGCCAAAUCACAAAUAAACAAACUACAGACAAUUCAAAAUUCAAUAGUCACUAAAGCAUAAAAGAGUCCCCAGAUGCACAAACACAACUUUCCUACAUACUUAUGCAAACAUCCCUAUGUUGUCAGAAAGACUUCAAAACAGACUAAUAGACUAUCUCCAGAAAAAAUGUUAAUAAAAAUACUUCUCCAAGAACACUGAAAAACUUUAUUAUGUAUGAUGAAGAUAGACAAAAAUAUUUUUCGCCACUAAAUACAGUUAAUUCGUUAUGUAAUUUACGGCCACCUAAUACUGGGCAAACUUGUAGCUAGAUAUAGUGUUAAUUUUAUUUUUGAAGUUUUUUAUGUAAAAAUAUGAUUAGCACUGUAUAUGUUUCUAUCGGUGUCUAUGGAACUGUUUUGUAUGUACAAGACUGAAUGUUUAUAAUGAAUGAGAGAAAACGAAACAUUUGCCGAAAAUAAUAAUAAAAAAUCUACAUUUUUAUAUUCGUGAACAUAACCUGAAAAGGGCACUCGCGUAUAUGAUAAUCCAAGAACAACUGUACCAAGCAUACAGUGGUUACAUAAUAUUGAAAUGAAUUUUCCUAGUUACCCGACCGAACAAAAUCGGAGAACUAAUAUGGGCUUCAGCUACUACGUUCAAGAAUCAAAACAACAGUCAAGAAACCAGGUAGAAAUCCAGGGUGUACCUGAGCCUCCCGGGUCACAUGACCAAAGAACGAUCAGAGAAAUUUGACUAGAAUCUUAAGAUUGGUUACUUGUAUUACAUUACAAAAAUAGGCUUGAAGACAUAUUAUGACAUCAUGAAAAAUAGGUAAGUCUCAUAUUAUAACAUAAUAUUACUGUGGCAGAAAAUAUUAUUUCUUAUUAAUAGUUACAAAAUCAAUCCAUUAGAUAACGUAUACUAUGCAAUUGUGCCGAUCUCGGGAUGGACGACGAGGGCAUUUCUUCUGCACACUUCAUCGUAUGUAUUUAUGUCUAUGUAUUGUCACACACACUUUUAAGAUCACAUUAAAAGUUUUGCUUUAGAUUAAUGCUAUAAAAAAUAACAACAUACAAUUGUGUUACACAUAGGCCAUAAUGCUGUUUCCGGCAGGUAAACUUUUAAAUACAAAACUUACGCCUCCAUUCGUCUACUAGUGCUCCACUGCAUAAAUUCCAUGUUACACUGGAAACAUAAAUUUAGUUAGUAUAAGUGGGAUACUGCAUCUAGUUAUUGCAUCCCAUGAAACCAGCAAGACUGUCAACACUGACAAAUGAUCAUCUUGUGACAUCACGAACAAUCCGAUAAUUUUAUGUAAAUACAUGCAUGGUUUUAAAACAUUUGUGCUGGAGUAGCUACCCUUCCAUCGCAAACACACACACACACAACUAUCAAUACAGACAAGUGCUACUGAUACUAUUUGCUUUUCACUGCCAUAUCUAUUCCUCACAUCGCAACGCACAUCUGGACAGCGUUUUACGCCCAAACCUUCUCUUGAUACCAUGAAGGGAUUUGUGGGAAAUUGGUGACGUCAUCAGGCGUUGGUUUUUAGACAAAGGAACAUGGCUGGGUUUAACUCAGACUAUCAGUGCAAGUAUUGUCAAGAAGACAUUACAGAAGUAACAGUGAGAUGUAGCCAAUGCAAAGAUUUUGACCUUUGUUUACAGUGUUUUUCAUGUGGAGUAGAAAUAGGUGGACACAAAAAUAAACAUGGGUAUGAACUUAUAAACUGUGGUACUUUCCUGUUAUUUCAAACUCCUGGGUCAUGGAAAGCUGUGGAUGAAGUAUUGUUACUAGAAGCAGUAGAGCAUUAUGGCUUUGGAAACUGGGAAGGCAUAACUCAGCAUUUUAAAGAAAGAAGUAUAGAAGAUGUCAGAGACCACUACAUAGAUAUGUAUGUUUGUGGAAAUAUUGGUGAAGCAUCAUGGCCACUUCAGACUCUUCAUACUGUUAUAGACCAUACGUUUCCUAAUAAUGAUGAAAUUUUGCUACCUCCAGAGGAACUUUCAUUACAAGAACAGAGAGAAUUGGGUUACCUACCAAAGAGAGACGAUUUUGAAGUGGUCUAUGAGAAUAAUGCAGAAUCAUUAGUUUGUAAUUUAUGCGUCCAUAAAGAUGAAGAAGAGGUUUAUGUAGCUUUAAGUUUAGCACAAUUGGAUGGAUAUAACUGUAGAUUGAGAGAGAGAGAUCGGAGACAAAGAGCAGCUAGAGAACAUGGACUAUUUUGGGAGUUUUUCAACAAAUCAAAAUCCAGUGCUCCCAAAAAAAGGCUGUACGAUAAAAAAGAGGAAUUUCAAGAGAAGGUGAAAGUGUUCUGUCAGUUCCAAAGUGGUGCAGAAAGGUGUGAGUUUUUGAAAAAUAUACAGAAAGAAGAAGAUCUGAAGAGAAAGAUUGAACAAUUGAUGAAAUAUAGGAAAUGUGGUCUAACUAAGCUUGAUGAAUGUGAAAAAUUUGAUUCUAUGAAGUACAUGAAGAACACAAAGAAACAGAUAAAUAAUAAAUUGUUUACCAUUUAUCCAGGGCAGUUCCAAAACCACCACGCACAAAAGAUAUGCAAUGGUGUACGAAAAAGAAGGCGGAAGAGGCAUCACUCUUGGACACGAAAGAAAAAAAAAAAGUGAAGUAAUAAACUGGGUCGGUGAAGUGGCCCAAUACACACCUGACAUCUUCCUUAGACAGGAAUGAUCAAUUAGUCUGGUGAGAAACAGGGUACCGGAUGUGACCAUCUUCUCCAUGUCCCAUCUGGAUUGUCUUCAGAAAUAGUUAUUACACAUUGAGAGUGGAUCUCUUAAUACUCAGGAAUAACAUUUUUCUCUUACAGCGACAUAUUUAUUGUCAUCACAAUUAUCUCUUCAUCAUGUUGUAAACAUUUUUGAUGCAUGUUUAUGUCCAUAUCAGUUUUUUAUAAUAUAAGAUAUAUGCAACAUUUCUGUUUUUAUAACAAUUGUUAUAUAAUUGCUUUCUUCCAAUUUUAAAAUAGCAUUCUAUAAAAUGAUUCAGAAUACCUCAAUUCUCUGUGAAUGAAAACAUAACACGGGGUCUGAUCUAGGGAUGAUUUUUAUAACAUUAGUUAAUCCAGUUUGCUAACUGUCAAAAAACCUUAUAUAUAGUCAGUAACAAGUGCUGAAUAUUUUUAGAGGAGGAACUGUUAUAAUGAAAGGUAAUGUUGAUUACUGAUGCUUGGUAACUUCCUGAAAAUUGUAAAACAUAAAAUUCUGUACAACAUAAAGUAUGUUGGUCUAAAUAAAACUUUCAAUAAAAAAAAAAUUUUCAUUUAAUAUUAAUAAAAUUCACUAAAAUAAUAAUUUAAAAAAUGUUAAAAUUUAAUCUUAAAUAUUAUGUUAGCUUUCAACACUCCCUUUGUAUUACAUAACAUUUGGUUAGUGUAAUUAGUCUAGUCACAAUUGUAAUUUCUAAUCACAAAGUUCAUCCACUAUCAGUGACUGGUCCACUUUAAGUGGUUAUUUAAGAACAGAAUGAUGUUAUAUUUAAAACAUGGUUUCCAAAACUGUUCACAGUUUUGACAAUAACCAUAAUAUUUUGCUUACUCUUCUUUACUUUGCUCUAUAGAAGUUAUUUGUCUAUGUCUAAACCCCAUGUCACUGGUGUGUAUGUAUGUGUGAGUUAAAUAUAUAUAUAUACAGAAGUGUCACAGUUGCUAACGUAGAGUUCCCAGUUAAUUUUAGUUGCAUGUAUUGCAUACAAAUUUCCCAUGCCAUUCAUUGAUAACUGAUACUUAAGUAUUUAAUAUAUCCAUUAGAUUAAAGCAUAUUAUAUAAAUUGUUGCAGUUUUAUAUACAUUUUUAAAAGUAUACAUUUUGUUCCAUCACAAAAAGUUUAUUUUCACAAAAUACACAAGGUAGUACUAAAGAAUAGCUAAAUCAGGUCCUGUAACAUUUUUCUAUUGUUUUUUAUGUCUAUGUUGUGUACAAAAUCAUUAGUGAUCAUGAGCUUAAACUUGUAAAUAUUUUAGAUACAUUUUGCCAUUUUUUGUAGAACAGUGUUUACUUGUAUGUUUCUAUCUAUUUAUGUAACUGUUAUGUGAAAGCAAAAGAGCUAUCAAGAUAUUUUUACACUAUUUUUCAAAACUGUUUCUUUGAGAAUAUCUUCUUGCAUAAACUAAUUGCAAAAGGAUUGUUAAUAUCAUAUUUAGUUUAUAUUUCAUUUUGUCAAAUACUGGACAAUGUUACAGACAAAAAAAAUGUUGGUAUCAAAUAUUUCUGAUUUACAAAAUGGAGUUAUCACAGGGUUUGAUAUGAUUUGAUUUUAUUCAGAAUGGUGACUGUAGGAUUAAAAAAUGAACAUUUUGGUGCAAAUGACUGUUUUUUUUUGUGAUUUAAGAUAAAUUAGAUAAAGUUAAUUUUACUUUUAGAAUUUUAAUUCAUUUACAGUGUCUUCCAAAUUUUACAGUAAGCAAUGAAUGGUUGUGUAAUGUGACUCAAAUUUAAAUGAGUUUGGAAGACAUAAAAUUCGUUUUCAGUUUGAGCAAAAAUAAAAGAAGUGAAUACUCUCGAUUUUUUUAUACCUGUGAAAAGCAAAAACCCAAACUCAGCAUAUCACAGAUCUAUUGAAAAGUAUGAUAUACAACUCUAGACAGAAUUUGUUCAAUUACUACUUAGAGAGUUAAAUGAUUUAAACUUUGUUAGUUUAUGUUAAAAAUUUAAUUCUGUGGUGUAAAAUACUCAUUUAUAAAAUGAAAGUUUUUAUCAAAAUUUGUUAUAAGAACAGUUUUCAGCAAUGUUUACUUCCUUAUUUCUUUUCAGAAAAUUCAUCUGAAAAUAAAGAAACAAAAUAUUAAAAUUAUUUUGACCAAAAUCAGCAGUGGAUGUCAGUAUAGUUAAGAAAAGAUGUAAAAACAGUUUUAAAAUUGAAAUCCAAAUACUCUUAGAAAGUAACAGGUAAAAGUAAACUAUAAAAAUGCACCAGGUAAAAAAUGUGUACUACAUUUAGGGACCAAAAAAUGUAAAUAAUGUGUUGUUUUCUUUGGAAUGUCCAAUUAUAAUAAUGUAUGUUAUUAGGUUAAUAUUUAAGUAACUGCCACACAUAUUGUGUUAAUAUGUAUUCUGCUUACCAAAAUUGGGUUUAAGUCUAACCCAUAAUAAAAUGCAAAUUAAUAUUGAUUUAUUUUUUUACUACCUCCCUAUCUUUUACCUCUUCCCAAGAAAAAAAAUGUCAGAGGGAAAAUGAUCCAGUUUAGCUUACGAAUAAUUGGUAAACCCACUUUUUAUUAUGUAAUGUUCCCACAGUAAGUUUGAACAAACUGGUGAUCUUUUGCAUACAUUCAUAACUCUUUCACUUGUUGGAUAUUAGUUGUUUAGAAAGCUAUAAAUAAAUUUACCCUAUACAAGUCGAUUUUGGUUCCAAAUCUUUAAAUAGGAUAAUUUACCCAUUGUUGGAAACCUGUAAACUUUCUGCUGAUGAUUAGAGAUAUGUACGAUUGAAUCAUUGUGAUGUAGAUGGAUUUCACUCUUCUACUUAUGGGUAGAAUAAAAGGAGUUUCAUUCUGAC
RNA transcript from Limulus polyphemus (Atlantic horseshoe crab), 6935 nucleotides. It is a transcript of the gene named transcriptional adapter 2-beta-like, with no coding region annotated. NCBI's taxonomy places the organism in Eukaryota, Metazoa, Arthropoda, Merostomata, Xiphosura, Limulidae. The transcript has 17 exons. The record is from RefSeq and is a predicted model, not a curated record.